AGUAUCUGACCUCUAUGAGCAUCCACUUAGGAUCAGUCUGAAAUAGUCCUCUUUAAUCUAAAUUUUGGUUCUCCAAAAUUCAGCCUGCUGAAUCUGAAUGAAGCCUGGAUCACGUUCAACACUUGAUCUUUCUCCUUGAUAUUCUUCUUCUCCUCUUCUCUAAAAUUUUUUCUUGCUAUGUACUACUAUCAGAUGCUAGAAACCAGUAAGAA
Molecule: long non-coding RNA, 212 nt
Filed under: Elaeis guineensis (African oil palm)
Lineage: Eukaryota; Viridiplantae; Streptophyta; Magnoliopsida; Arecales; Arecaceae
Description: long non-coding RNA (EGUI_LNC068043)
Source: RNAcentral